GACGAACGCUGGCGGCGUGCUUAACACAUGCAAGUCGAACGGAAAGGCCCAGCUUUUGUGGGGUGCUCGAGUGGCGAACGGGUGAGUAACACGUGAGUAACCUGCCCUUGACUUUGGGAUAACUUCAGGAAACUGGGGCUAAUACCGGAUAGGAGCUCCUGCUGCAUGGUGGGGGUUGGAAAGUUUCGGCGGUUGGGGAUGGACUCGCGGCUUAUCAGCUUGUUGGUGGGGUAGUGGCUUACCAAGGCUUUGACGGGUAGCCGGCCUGAGAGGGUGACCGGCCACAUUGGGACUGAGAUAGGGCCCAGACUCCUACGGGAGGCAGCAGUGGGGAAUAUUGCACAAUGGGCGGAAGCCUGAUGCAGCAACGCCGCGUGCGGGAUGACGGCCUUCGGGUUGUAAACCGCUUUCGCCUGUGACGAAGCGUGAGUGACGGUAAUGGGUAAAGAAGCACCGGCUAACUACGUG
RNAcentral lists this ribosomal RNA (468 nucleotides) under uncultured bacterium. Its description in RNAcentral is "partial 16S ribosomal RNA". It matches the Rfam family "Bacterial small subunit ribosomal RNA", at positions 28 to 507 of the family's 1533-position model. The record is from RNAcentral.